AAGAGUAAGGGUCUCUGGCCCGACCUCCAACCCUCUGUUGUUAAAACUACCUUGUUGCUUUGGCGGGACCGUUCGGUCUCGAGCGCGCCGGUCUUCGGAUUGGCGAGCGCCCGCCAGAGUCCAACCAAACUCUUGUAUUAAACCAGUCGUCUGAGUAAAAACACAAUAAACAA
RNAcentral lists this unclassified non-coding RNA (173 nucleotides) under uncultured fungus. RNAcentral describes it as "sequence contains ITS1, 5.8S rRNA gene". The record is from RNAcentral. Lineage: Eukaryota; Fungi.